This 502-nucleotide ribosomal RNA is filed under the name uncultured bacterium. RNAcentral's name for it is "partial 16S ribosomal RNA". It matches the Rfam family "Bacterial small subunit ribosomal RNA", at positions 29 to 523 of the family's 1533-position model. The record is from RNAcentral.
AUUGAACGCUGGCGGAAUGCUUUACACAUGCAAGUCGAACGGCAGCACGGGAGCUUGCUCCUGGUGGCGAGUGGCGAACGGGUGAGUAAUGCAUCGGAACGUGCCCAUUUAUGGGGGAUAACUAGUCGAAAGACUAGCUAAUACCGCAUAAGCUCGAGAGAGGAAAGCGGGGGAUCGUAAGACCUCGCGCAGAUGGAGCGGCCGAUGUCCGAUUAGCUAGUUGGUGAGGUAACGGCUCACCAAGGCGACGAUCGGUAGCUGGUCUGAGAGGACGACCAGCCAAACUGGCACUGAGACACGGCCCAGACUCCUACGGGAGGCAGCAGUGGGGAAUUUUGGACAAUGGGGGCAACCCUGAUCCAGCCAUUCCGCGUGUGGGAAGGAGGCCUUCGGGUUGUAAACCACUUUCGGACGGGAAGAAAUCGACGUGACGAAUAAUCGUGUCGGAUGACGGUACCGUAAGAAGAAGCACCGGCUAACUACGUGCCAGCAGCCGCCGUAA